Molecule: long non-coding RNA, 1656 nt
Organism: Biomphalaria glabrata
Lineage: Eukaryota; Metazoa; Mollusca; Gastropoda; Planorbidae
Exons: 3
Source: RefSeq, a predicted model, not a curated record
UUAUCGUGGCUUCUGUGACUUGAGAUGAACUCCGAUUCUUUUCAGGACAGGAUGGUCUAGACCUCCAGGAGAAGAAACCGCUGUUCGGCUAACCUCAAGGCUCAUCUGACUCGUGAACGCUAUUGGAACUGGACUUACCGCGGCUGCUGACGACCGACAUGUCCAAGUCAAAUUGGCUUCAGGACCGAAAGGUCUACUCCUCCCGACAAAAAAAAAAGAAGAAACUGCUAAUCGGCGUAAUGCCCGAGUUCCUCGGACUGGUAACAGGAUUCUAGAGGGCUACGAAAAUAUUUUGAGAGAACAUUCUAGAAAUAUUAAUACUACCAAGAUCUCCAGACCUGCAGCUAAUCAAAGAUGACGGUAUCGAUGUAACAGAGGUGCCGCGGACAUGGCGUGACAUCAUCACCUUUGACCCUUGGUAGAGCGACUCGAUAACUGUAACUUGUAGCCGGAUAUCCGCGUUAUUCAUUGAUGGUUGAUGCUCAGUGAUGACGUCAUUCCCAUCGUUAUUCAAGCUUUUAAAAUAGUUGCCAGGCGCUGAGUAGAAGAAACUCAGAGAACUGUGGCAUCAGCAUCUAAUGUGAGAUAGUGCUGUCGAAAAAUUAUGGGAUGGCAGACAUCCAGUCAAUGAAAACAAUACAUCAAAUCAAUCGAAAACAAGAGAAUCAGUCAAUGGCAAACAAGAAGUUAAUCUACAGAAAACAAGACACCAAAUCAAUGGUGAACCAGACAUUCAAACAACGGAAAACAAGACAUCCAACCCAGUGGCGUAGCUAGGAAUUUAUCAUUAUUGGGAGGGGGGCCCAGGGACUUGAUUUUUUUGGGUGGCCCUGCGUUUGGAGUAAUAUUUAAUAUAUAAUGUAAAAAACACUCAUUUGGGGACCCCCCUCAAGUUGGGGCCCGGGGAGAUUUUCCCCACCCAAGCUACGCCUCUGAUCCAUCCUAUAGAAAAGUAAAUAUUCCAUCAACGGAAAUACGACCAAUUGGCGGGCACAUAUUUGGCCCGAUACAUAGACAAAAUUGUAUUCUACAAUAGACUAAAAAUGUCUAUAAAUUCAGGAAGAACAAUGACAAAGAACAUACAUACAUUUUUAGUGAUUACUUUUUAAUAAUGUGUUAUAUGAAAUUGAGCUGAAAAUCAGCAGCGUAGCAACCAUGUGGAGAAGGAUUUCCUUGCACCCGGGUCCAUGACAUUGGGGGUCUACUAGAAAAAAAAAGACAAAAUGUUUGACGACCGAAAUUUAAUUUUAUCGAAAUCAUGUUAUUUAUUUCCUCCCUGACUGAGUCAUGACUGAGCUGAGCCUAAGGUUAUUAGUAGGUUUAAAAAGUAGUACAUCUUUUGAAUUUUUUAAUCAAUGUAUUAAUACGCACAGGAUGACUCGAUUUGGCUUUUUAUCACACGUAACCCACGGGGGUCCCGCCAACAUAUUUUUGAACCCUGGCCUACGGGUAUCUUGCUACGCUGCUGCUGAAGCUUACAUGGUGACCUGGUUUUUGAACUAAGUAACAUUAGUAAUGCACCCCUUUCGAUCUCAGGAUAUGUAAAGGUCAUCUGUUUCUAGGGAUGGCGUUUAAUAAGGGUAUCAGGUGGCCAGUACAACGACCAUCAGAUUUACUUUCCCCAACUAAUGUCAGGUACCCAUUAGAGCUGGGUGG